CCCCUAGAUGUUCUGGGCCGCACGCGCGCUACACUGAUGCAUUCAACGAGUCUAAAACCUGCUCUGAUAGGGGUGGGUAAUCUUUUGAAUGUGCAUCGUGAUUGGGAUAGAUGAUUGCAAUUUUUCAUCUUCAACGAGGAAUGCCUAGUAAACGCAAGUCAUCAGCUUGCAUUGAUUACGUCCCUGCCCUUUGUACACACCGCCCGUCGCUCCUACCGAUUGAAUGAUCCGAUGAAUAUCAUGGAUUGAGGAUGCAAGUAGGUUCGCCUAUCUUCAUCUUCGAGAAGUGAAGUAAAUCUUAUCAUUUAGAGGAAGGAGAAGUCGUAACA
This 329-nucleotide ribosomal RNA is filed under the name uncultured eukaryote. RNAcentral's name for it is "partial 18S ribosomal RNA". It matches the Rfam family "Eukaryotic small subunit ribosomal RNA", at positions 1470 to 1796 of the family's 1831-position model. The record is from RNAcentral.